Diachasmimorpha longicaudata is the source of this 3619-nucleotide RNA transcript. RefSeq lists it as uncharacterized. The record is from RefSeq and is a predicted model, not a curated record. Lineage: Eukaryota; Metazoa; Arthropoda; Insecta; Hymenoptera; Braconidae. The transcript has 3 exons.
AGAUAUAUUCAUCAAAAAAUUGCAGCAAGCGUUAAUUUUACCCUGAAAUGUCAAGUCAUAAAUAACGACAUUCUUUUGAAUAUCAGUGGACUUGUAAUUGUUCCCCUUUGAUUAUUCAAUUUUCCUAAAUCAAGUCAUCAUCAGUAAAUCAAUCUUUUUCUAAAGAUUCGAAAUGAUGGAUUAUCUGCUCCGCAGGAGAUCCAACGACUGCUAAAAUACUAGAACUCCAUCAAGGUCGAUUUGCUUUCCCCUGCCCCCACCAUUUAUUGUUUCGCCUUGGCCAAACCUGUGAAGAGGUUUGCCGUAGGUUAGGCAUAUCCUUGAGUCAGCCCAGCAAAAAAAGAGCGGUGCGCAUUCUAAUUGUGAAUUCUCGGCUUCACCAGACGUUUUUUCAACAACCGUUACACGAGCCCAAAUUUCCCUACGCUUCUGACGUCAGACUGAUUAUUAUUUUUUUUUCAAAUGAUGUGUUCAAUGGAGGUGUUUACGGGAUUGCGUGAUGCAAAAGGAGGUUUAUAGCUUCGAUUAUAGACGUUUUAUUCUGUGAAGUAUGCACAAUCGUGGUCGACGGUCGGACGAAUGUGUAAAGAACACGCCACCGUCAUCAGCCAAUGGCGGUGGUUCAGGGUUUUUCUGGUUCGUUGCUAUUGGUCCAUAACCUGCUAAUGACUCAUCCAGAGAUCGACCGGGAAUUCGUCGCUUGUUGCUUUCUAAAGGAAAUAAUAAUUCUUGGUGGAUUUUUGAUAAUUCAUGGAUUUAAUGCUGAUUCUGCCGAUAGCAACGAUAAUUGUGAAAUUCCGAGUUAUUGCGUCUUGCUAUUUCACUCCGGUCUGACCCAAUUCAGCGACCAAACCACCGAUAAGAGUUAUCACAAUCAGUACGGGCAAUCCAAGUGUCCAGUACCCGCGGGGCAAAAAGUAUGCCUUGACUCAUCGAGACGAAAUGCCGAUGACUUCCGUGAAAUAAGCCAGAUGGAGAACAGGCUGAAGGUGUUCACUCGCGCCGCUGGAUGCGUUUUGUAGGGAUUUCUGCUUGAGCAUCCUAUGAGUCAUCGUCGAGGAAGAUCGGCGGUUGUUUUUUAAGCUGGGACAACAGUCCCACCGGCCUGCGACCAAUUACAGUUAAAUACGGAUUAUAAUCCCACGUCACACAUGAAAUUCUGGGCGUCAUCGGUUAUGAAUGAAGUCACAAGUGUUGCACAUUUCCCGGUGCAUUUCCUACUCGUGCCUCUCCAUAAAAAAAGUAGCGAUAUACUUUGGACAGAAAAGGACAGACUUUUUAUGCACUUAUCGAGCCGAUGAGUAAUACUAGUUGUUGGUUAUGCAUACGAGACUACUAUAACCUCCAGAGUGACGCGCAAAAAGCAUAAAUGAUGAAGCCACUAUCUCCUCAUCGACGAGCUAACAGAUAGAUACGCAAUAAUUGUGAAUCCACGAAUUAAAUCACAUGGAGUUAUCCGUUGUAUUUUUAUUCUCAUUUUCAAAUGUGAUUUUUAUUUUUUCGCGGUUCGUGUCCAGACCGCUGUGUUUACGACGAUAAUAUCAUGCGUGCUUAUUAGACUGAAUAGUUCUUUUGGUUUUUAAUGCGUAAUGACAAUUUCUUUUGUUCGAUGGGUAAUUACAGGGCACUUGACGGCUGAUCCCUAGAGGAUCAGGUGAAUUUUUUAUGGCAAUUUUAAUUCAGUUGUAAGUUUCAAAUUAGAGGGUUGACAGGUGGUCACGAUCUUCUUUUUCGGGAUUUUUUAGUGCAUUUUUUUUUAAUAUCAAAGUUUGUUUAGAGUUUUAUUGAAAGCGAUUGUAGUUUUGUGAAGAUAGCCAGUCUUUCUUUUUCCUGGAAACGAUUUUGUGAAUUCGUCUGCGGAACAUUUCUAUUUUGAGAAGUUCAAGUAAGUUGAUUUUUUUUUUCUUGUCUCCUUAAUUAGAGGGGCAAUGAAAGAUAUUUCGCAACGGUUUUAUUACUGUGGACUUAUCAGAGGACGAUUCUUCAUUUGAAACUGACCGAAAAGGUUUUAAAUUUAUUUAUGGUAAAGUACAUUAGCUACGCUAAAAUUUUGUAAAGACUGUAAUAUUUAAUCAGGAAGAUAUUUCCAAAAAAAAAAUGAUAGAAUCAUUCUGACGCAACUGAGUCUAUCAAUUCGAAUACCUGGAUUGAAAUGAUGAUCUCCAAAAGCUGUAAAAAGGAGAAAUAUUUAUUAAAAAAAGAUCUCAAUGUUUUUAUCCUCCAGAAGUGAUGAAAGACCUCCUGAAUUCUCAUUAUCUCCAUUGAUCGAAUGAAAGCUUUGCCUUAUAUUUGAAUACCGAACAUCUGUGUUCCCUUAAAAGAGAAAAAAAAACGCUGAAAAGGCAGAGCACACCUGCGAAGAAGUAACAUUCGACUAAGAAAGCAUUCAAUGCAAAAACCUGACCUAUCGCAAUGCACGAAAGAUGGCGUGACCAUGGAGGGGUGUACUUAGGGCCUUAUUCAGGAGCAGGUAUUCGUCAUGGAGCAAUUUUUUUCGAUGAAAAGAGGGCCAACAGAAAGGGCAGCAGCUCAAACAGUGCGAGGGCCUUUUGUUCGUCAAAAUCAGAGUUUUUAGGCUCCACGGGAGGAGGCUGAUCCACCUGCGAGUUGGAACAGGUCGUAACAGGUCGGAUCAAGACUGCCUCUCCCUCAGACGCCCUUUAGCUCCUUCUUCCCCCUCCCCCACUUGAUUUUUCACAAAAACCAGUUUUGCGAUACCUGAGGACCCGGAUAGACGUCUUGGGACGAAAUAGGGAUAAACGAGUGCGGGAGAUGAUAUCGGGGGAUUUUGAUUCGGCUGGAAUCGAAUUUCAAAUGAUUUUGGGUCGAACGGGCGGAACUAAUUUUUUACCAAAUAUUUCUCUCUGUAUAUCAAUGACCAACACUUCAAAAUUUGAGUUCCAGUGUAAAAAUCAGCUGGUGAGUCGGGCGUUGUCAAAAAAACAGCCACUAAACGGAGUCUCCGAUUUCCCCCCAUAUUUGACAGUCAGGUUGGGCCCUCCCGCUAUUCCACCAGAUGUAGAAAACAUGUUGGUUAUUUUCUUACCAAAUAAAAAGAUAUUUUUCACUCGAAAAGAGCUACCACCAGACCAAUAAAUGAAAAAGUCGACCAGACACCAGCGGCCCCAGGAUUUUAGUACAACGUAGUAGGACUGAAAACUGGUCUCCGUAUAUCUUUAUGGGAUCGCACUCUCGGUCCCAAACAACAUGUGGAGGGAAAAAAAACCACGGGGCCCACAAAUGCAGGGACAAAGAAUCAAGUGGUGGCCCGGGGAGACACACAGGGGAGUAGUGGGAGAGACGAGGGAACCCGGUUCCGAGAAUUGAGCAUCGUUUUCUUGGAGUUUCGUUUGCCCUACCACGAACACGAUACCCGAGACCAAAACAUCAUGGGUCUCGGGCAAAACGUGUGCAACAAAACGUGGAAUUUAUGGAAAAGCGGAAUAACCGUUGAGAUCUUUGGGUUUUGGGGGGCCUUGGAUGCUGUGAGAUGGUAAAAAUUCAGGUGAGAAGUGGAGACCGUGAUGAAAUUCACGAGGAUUUUCCGGGUGAAAUCGGCGAGUUCAAUUUCAGGUUGAAAUUUAUGGCAGAAUAAAAAAUCAGGUCCUUGUACCUAAUU